AACGUAGUCGAUUUAGAGGUUGUGGCCUAUGAGCCGUGGCUUCUGGAGCUAACGCGUUAAAUCGACCGCCUGGGGAGUACGGCCGCAAGGUUAAAACUCAAAUGAAUUGACGGGGGCCCGCACAAGCGGUGGAGCAUGUGGUUUAAUUCGAUGCAACGCGAAGAACCUUACCUACUCUUGACAUCCAGCGAAUCCUUUAGAGAUAGAGGAGUGCCUUCGGGAACGCUGAGACAGGUGCUGCAUGGCUGUCGUCAGCUCGUGUUGUGAAAUGUUGGGUUAAGUCCCGCAACGAGCGCAACCCUUAUCCUUUGUUGCCAGCACGUCAUGGUGGGAACUCAAAGGAGACUGCCGGUGAUAAACCGGAGGAAGGUGGGGAUGACGU
Molecule: ribosomal RNA, 382 nt
Filed under: Proteus mirabilis
Lineage: Bacteria; Pseudomonadati; Pseudomonadota; Gammaproteobacteria; Enterobacterales; Morganellaceae
Description: bacterial SSU rRNA
Rfam family: Bacterial small subunit ribosomal RNA
Source: RNAcentral